UACGUAGGGUGCAGGCGUUAAUCGGAAUUACUGGGCGUAAAGGGCUCGUAGGCGGCCAACUAAGUCAGACGUGAAAUCCCUCAGCUUAACUGGGGAACUGCGUCUGAUACUGGAUGGCUUGGAUUCGGGAGAGGAAUGCGGAAUUCCAGGUGUAGCGGUGAAAUGCGUAGAUAUCUGGAGGAACACCGGUGGCGAAGGCGGCAUUCUGGACCGAUAUUGACGCUGAGGAGCGAAAGCCAGGGGAGCAAACGGG
RNAcentral lists this ribosomal RNA (253 nucleotides) under uncultured bacterium. RNAcentral describes it as "partial 16S ribosomal RNA". It matches the Rfam family "Bacterial small subunit ribosomal RNA", at positions 524 to 776 of the family's 1533-position model. The record is from RNAcentral.